This 428-nucleotide ribosomal RNA is filed under the name uncultured bacterium. Its description in RNAcentral is "partial 16S ribosomal RNA". It matches the Rfam family "Bacterial small subunit ribosomal RNA", at positions 354 to 796 of the family's 1533-position model. The record is from RNAcentral.
GUGGGGAAUAUUGGGCAAUGGGCGAAAGCCUGACCCAGCAACGCCGCGUGAGGGAAGAAGGUUUUCGGAUUGUAAACCUCUGUCCUUGGUGACGAACACAAUGACGGUAGCCAAGGAGGAAGCCCCGGCUAACUACGUGCCAGCAGCCGCGGUAAUACGUAGGGGGCAAGCGUUGUCCGGAAUGACUGGGCGUAAAGGGCGUGUAGGCGGCCGAUUAAGUCUGGAGUGAAAGUCCUGCUUUCAAGGUGGGAAUUGCUUUGGAGACUGGUUGGCUUGAGUGCGGAAGAGGCAAGUGGAAUUCCCAGUGUAGCGGUGAAAUGCGUAGAGAUUGGGAGGAACACCAGUGGCGAAGGCGACUUGCUGGGCCGUAACUGACGCUGAGGCGCGAAAGCGUGGGGAGCGAACAGGAUUAGAAACCCCUGUAGUCC